GCCGGAAUAGCUCAGUGGUAGAGCAACCGCCUUGUAAGCGGUAGGUCGUCAGUUCAAUCCUGACUUCCGGCACCA
This 75-nucleotide transfer RNA is filed under the name Alphaproteobacteria bacterium. RNAcentral's name for it is "tRNA-Thr". It matches the Rfam family "tRNA". From Rfam's summary of the family: Transfer RNA (tRNA) molecules are approximately 80 nucleotides in length. Their secondary structure includes four short double-helical elements and three loops (D, anti-codon, and T loops). Further hydrogen bonds mediate the characteristic L-shaped molecular structure. tRNAs have two regions of fundamental functional importance: the anti-codon, which is responsible for specific mRNA codon recognition, and the 3' end, to which the tRNAs corresponding amino acid is attached (by aminoacyl-tRNA synthetases). tRNAs cope with the degeneracy of the genetic code in two manners: having more than one tRNA (with a specific anti-codon) for a particular amino acid; and 'wobble' base-pairing, i.e. permitting non-standard base-pairing at the 3rd anti-codon position. The record is from RNAcentral. Lineage: Bacteria; Pseudomonadati; Pseudomonadota; Alphaproteobacteria.